UUCUUAUCCAAAGCAUGCAUAGAAACAUAGCCAAAGCUUUGGAUAUCAUAUCAAACACAUAGAAGGUGAAGUGGCAUCAUAACAUAAUAUGGUCCAUCUAUUUCUGAAUGACCAACAAACAUAAGUCUCCCACGUCUGGGAGCUCCAUCCACCCACGUCUGAGUGAAGUCAUAGGGGACCGGCAGAGCAUCGCGGGCUCUAAGCAUAACUCCCUUUACCAUUUCGGGCAAAGGUUCACAUUUAUCCCACAAACACCGGAGUACAAAGGGACAGUAUGAAUAAUGAAAUUAGCAUAUAUUGGAAGCACAUGCGGAACAAUGAAAUGUACAUAUGCCUUUCGAGUCAAUACGAUACAAACAUAAUCUUUCACA
This 371-nucleotide long non-coding RNA is filed under the name Musa acuminata (dwarf banana). RNAcentral's name for it is "long non-coding RNA (MACU_LNC011319)". Lineage: Eukaryota; Viridiplantae; Streptophyta; Magnoliopsida; Zingiberales; Musaceae. The record is from RNAcentral.